CGCCACAAACAGGGAUGAUUAAUUUACUGUCACCACGCUCUUUGUGGACCUGGACCUGUAGGAGUACUCAACCUGUCUAGAACUGCGUUGAAGUCAACAGGUUGGCCACUGUCUUCCAUUCUCUGGAUUAUACUUGCAACAUGGUCACCCCUGAAACCCAUGCCAACCAGUUUUUCAAUUAGAUGUGAGUGACUUGGAUUCCUG
RNAcentral lists this unclassified non-coding RNA (204 nucleotides) under Hevea brasiliensis (rubber tree). The record is from RNAcentral. Lineage: Eukaryota; Viridiplantae; Streptophyta; Magnoliopsida; Malpighiales; Euphorbiaceae.